Molecule: ribosomal RNA, 301 nt
Filed under: uncultured bacterium
Lineage: Bacteria
Description: partial 16S ribosomal RNA
Rfam family: Bacterial small subunit ribosomal RNA
Source: RNAcentral
CAGUCGCCGCGGUAAUACGUAGGGUGCAAGCGUUAAUCGGAAUUACUGGGCGUAAAGCGUGCGUAGGCGGCUUCUUAAGUCGGAUGUGAAAUCCCUGAGCUUAACUUAGGAAUUGCAUUCGAUACUGGGAAGCUAGAGUAUGGGAGAGGAUGGUAGAAUUCCAGGUGUAGCGGUGAAAUGCGUAGAGAUCUGGAGGAAUACCGAUGGCGAAGGCAGCCAUCUGGCCUAAUACUGACGCUGAGGUACGAAAGCAUGGGGAGCAAACAGGAUUAGAUACCCGGGUAGUCCCUGUCUCUUAUAC